This 1046-nucleotide long non-coding RNA is filed under the name Citrus x clementina. RNAcentral describes it as "Citrus clementina (C. clementina) long non-coding RNA (CCLE_LNC003832)". The record is from RNAcentral. Lineage: Eukaryota; Viridiplantae; Streptophyta; Magnoliopsida; Sapindales; Rutaceae.
AAUUAUCCACUGACUACUUGAUUUUUCAGAUUUUAUUAAAAAUACACAAACAUUUAUCUACCGACCACUGAUUUUUCGUGCUUUAUAAUCAAUGCUCCACUUUUUCCUCAACAAUGUCAAGGGACCUAACGAAAUAUUGGUCUAAUGACUUUUUUUUCCUCUAAAUACAAGAUGCCUAUUUUGCCCUAACUAAUUAAAAUUAAACAAUGCCCCUCCCAAAUUCUCAUGAUUCGAGUAAUCUAGUACCAAUGAGAAAUAAAAGCAUCCACAACGAGAGCCAUCUUAAUUAUCUAGGUCGGAGAAAAUGCACGUCGAGUAAUCUAUAGUACCAAUCUUCUCAAACGAUGACCCCAAGCAAAAGAGAUGCUCCUCGGCCUUCUUGUUACUCACAUUUUUUUUUUCCUCCUUUUGCUCUCAUAUUAUAUAAAUCAUUUAGAAAGGGCAGAUCUUCUAUAAUAUCACAAUUCCAAAUCUACAAUUUCUUCACAAUGGAUUAUAAUUAGAAUAUUGAUGAUGAGAUUUUUCAUCAUGAUGAAUAUUGAUGCUUAGAUUGUGAUAAUAAUGAAGAUGGAGAAACUGAUUUGUGGUGGUGGUGGUGAUGAUGAAUAUCAUCAGUAACACUAACAAUAUUUAGUUUAGAUGAUAUUUUUAUUCUUUUGGUGUCGGCAAUAAUUUAAUGGGUUAUAACACGGAGGAGUGAUUCACUUCUUAAACUUUAGGUGGAUUAUUGUCCAAAAAAAAAAUUAUGUAUUUUUUAUAAAGGGUUAAGAGCAGGUGAUUGGUGGAUAAUUUUUUUUUUUUCUAAUCAUGUUUGAAUGACGUCGUUUUUGGAUGUUCAAGUAAAAUAACAAUUUUAACCAUACGACGUCAUUAAAAAUCUAACAAAGUUAAGAUGGCAACAAACAACUAAAAUACUUUGUAAACUUCAAGUGUAUUUCUGCACACAAAAAAAUUACGUAGUUUAAAAAAAAAUUAAGUGCUAAGAAGAUAAUUGCCCUUAAAAAUAAGAAUAAUAAUAUAAAUUUAUGUUGUAAAGGGUUAUUAAC